UGAUAAGAGACAGCAGUAGCCGCGGGAACACGAAGGGGGCUAGCGUUGUUCGGAAUUACUGGGCGUAAAGCGCACGUAGGCGGAUAUUUAAGUCAGGGGUGAAAUCCCGCAGCUCAACUGCGGAACUGCCUUUGAUACUGGGUAUCUUGAGUAUGGAAGAGGUUAGUGGAAUUGCGAGUGUAGAGGUGAAACUCGUAGAUAUUCGCAGGAACACCAGUGGCGAAGGCGGCUAACUGGUCCAUAACUGACGCUGAGGUGCGAAAGCGUGGGGAGCAAACAGGAUUAGAUACCCGUGUAGUCCCUGUCUCUUAUAC
Molecule: ribosomal RNA, 314 nt
Filed under: uncultured bacterium
Lineage: Bacteria
Description: partial 16S ribosomal RNA
Rfam family: Bacterial small subunit ribosomal RNA
Source: RNAcentral